CAGCGACUUAUAUUCUGUAGCAAGGUUAACCGAAUAGGGGAGCCGGAGGGAAACCGAGUCUUAAUUGGGCGUUAAGUUGCAGGGUAUAGACCCGAAACCCGGUGAUCUAGCCAUGGGCAGGUUGAAGGUUGGGUAACACUAACUGGAGGACCGAACCGACUAAUGUUGAAAAAUUAGCGGAUGACCUGUGGCUGGGGGUGAAAGGCCAAUCAAACCGGGAGAUAGCUGGUUCUCCCCGAAAGCUAUUUAGGUAGCGCCUCGUGAAUUCAUCUCCGGGGGUAGAGCACUGUUUCGGCUAGGGGGCCAUCCCGGCUUACCAACCCGAUGCAAACUGCGAAUACCGGAGAAUGUUAUCACGGGAGACACACGGCGGGUGCUAACGUCCGUCGUGAAGAGGGAAACAACCCAGACCGCCAGCUAAGGUCCCAAAGUCAUGGUUAAGUGGGAAACGAUGUGGGAAGGCCCAGACAGCCAGGAUGUUGGCUUAGAAGCAGCCAUCAUUUAAAGAAAGCGUAAUAGCUCACUGGUCGAGUCGGCCUGCGCGGAAGAUGUAACGGGGCUAAACCAU
This 568-nucleotide ribosomal RNA is filed under the name Salmonella enterica subsp. enterica serovar Lexington. Its description in RNAcentral is "partial 23S ribosomal RNA". It matches the Rfam family "Bacterial large subunit ribosomal RNA", at positions 621 to 1190 of the family's 2925-position model. Lineage: Bacteria; Pseudomonadati; Pseudomonadota; Gammaproteobacteria; Enterobacterales; Enterobacteriaceae. The record is from RNAcentral.